GAGUAUGAUGAUAUGAAUUUUGUCGCCCCAGUCUUAGGAUCCGAAUUCCGGGCCUGUGCUGAUUGACAUGUUAUCAGAUCUGACUC
Molecule: small nucleolar RNA, 86 nt
Filed under: Leersia perrieri
Lineage: Eukaryota; Viridiplantae; Streptophyta; Magnoliopsida; Poales; Poaceae
Description: snoRNA snoU31b
Rfam family: Small nucleolar RNA U31b
Source: Rfam by way of RNAcentral